UAGGUUAGGUUAGGUUAGGUUAGGUUAGGUUAGGUUAGACAGACAGAUAGAUAGAGAUAGAUAAAUAGGUUAGGUUAGGUUAGGUUAGGUUAGGUUAGGUUAGACAGACAGAUAGAUAGACAGAUAGAUAAAUAGGUUAGGUUAGGUUAGGUUAGGUUAGGUUAGACAGACAGAUAGAUAGAUAGAUAGACAGAUAG
Molecule: long non-coding RNA, 197 nt
Organism: Scylla paramamosain (green mud crab)
Lineage: Eukaryota; Metazoa; Arthropoda; Malacostraca; Decapoda; Portunidae
Exons: 3
Source: RefSeq, a predicted model, not a curated record